GGCAAGGCCAAGUCUUGGGAGACCUGAGAGGCAGCAAGGAGCCCGAGUUAGAAACCGUCCAGAAGGGGCAGCUUCGAAGAACUUGCCACGCGGCAGCAGGUGUCACAGGCAGCGUGCGCAGAAGUCCUUGGAUAGAGGGGGUGGUGUCCUGCGUUGACGGGUUGGGAUGCGGAGGCUCAGAGGGUGAAGAAAGGGCCUGAUUUCAGAGAGUCUGUGGAGAAGCGAGCCCACAGGGUCCACGGUCUGCAGGGGAGGGGUGUGGGGCAGGCGAUUCCCAAGCAUCUGUGCCCCCUGCAGAGCACAUCUGCUGAUGGGAGGUCAGGCUUGGGGCUGAGUGUCCACUGCCCCCAGCAAGACCAGCCAAGUCCUAGAGCCCUGGCCCUGCUGUGGCACCCAGUGCCCUGGUGCAGACAGCGAGGCGUCUUUGAAGUGAAGCUCGGAAUUGACGUGUGAACACCCAGCUCUUGGGAGUGUCUACUCAGAGGGAAUGAUUUAUUUGAGGAGGGGCUGUGUAGCUUGUGUAUCAGCAGAGGCGCUGCUGGGAACAAAACGAAAGCCUUUGCAAAACGUGGCCGCAAAAACUCUUCAAAGGUGGAAAGAGUUAGUUGAAGUCACACACGCUAUCCGAUAUUAUAAACAGCUGUUCCACCCACGCUACAGUCAAAGCAGCAGCAUUCUGAUCCCUGCGAAGGUGUAUGAGUAUUUUGUCAUUGAUGAAGCCGGGCCACGUACAGCAUGAGGAAUAUGCCAAAGCCAAAGACCGCCUUGGAGCUCACCCUUCCCUCGGUCCCCAAAGUUCGGAAUCGUGGACCGUUAGCAAGAACUGUCUGGCUGAUCGUUAUUGGCUCAGGUCUGAAACCACACGGAGCUUUAUUGAAUGAAAAUACAAUACUGAAUUUUUCCCACUAGUUACAAGAACAGAAUCCCUCGGUAUCGUGGGGAUUGGUUCCAGGACCCCUGCAGAUACCAAAAUCCACGGAUGCUCAGGUGCCUUAUGUAAAACGGCACAGUACAAUCGGCCCUCUGUAUCCAGGGUUUCUGCACCUGUGGACUUAACCAACUGUUGAAUGUAUUGAAGGUUUGUGGCAGCUCUGCAAUGAGCAAGUCUAUCAGCUCCAGUUUCCCAACGGCAUUUGCUCACUUCUCUGCGUCAGGUUUUGGCCCCUCCCUGUUCCCCGACACGCAGCAAUAUUGAAAUUAAGCCAGUUAAUAACCCUACAGUGGCUCUAAGUGUUCAAGUGAAAGGAAGACUCACACGUCUCUCACUUUAAAUCAAGAGCUAGAAAAAAUUAAGCUUACUGAGGAAGGCAUGUCGAAAGCUGAGUCAGCCAAGUUGUGAAUGCAAAGGAAAAGUUCUUCAAGGAAAUUAAAAGUGCUACUUCAGUGAACACAGGAAUGAUAAGAAUGCAAAAUAGCCUUCUUGCUGAUUGCAGAAAGUCUCAGUGUCUGGAUAGAAGAUGAAACCAGCCACAACACUCCCUUAAGCCAAAGUCUAAUCCAGAGCAAGGCCCUGACUCUCUUCAGUUCUGUGAAGGCUGAGAGAGGUGAGGAAGCUGCAGGAGAAAAGUCUGAAGCCAGCCGAGGUCGGUUCAUGAGGUUUCAGGAAAGAAGCCGCCUCCAUCACAUAAAAGUAUAUGAGGAAGCAGCAGGUGCUGGUGUAGAAGCUGCAGCAAGUUAUCCAGAAGAUCCAGCUAAGAGAAUUCAUGAAGCUACACUGAACAACAGAUUUUCAAUGCAGAUGAAACAGCCUCCUAUUGGAAGACGCCAUCUAGGACUUUCACAGCUAAAGAAGUCAAUGCCUGGCUUCAAAGCUUCAAAGGACAGGCUGAUUCUCUUGUUAGGAGCUAAUGCAGCUGGUGACUUUGCUCACUUACCAUUCCGAACAUCCUAGGGCCCUUUAGAAUUAUGCUAAAUCUACUCUGCCUGUGCUCUGUAAAUGGAACAACAAAGCCUGGUUAACAACACAUCUGUUUACAACAUGCUUUACCGGAUAUUUUAAGCCCAGCGUUGAGACCUACUGCUCAGAAAAAAAAAGCUUCCUUUCAAAAUAUGACUGCUCGUUGACAAUGCACCUGGUCACCCCAGAGCUCUGACGGGGAUGGACAAUGAGAUGAAUGCUGUCUUCAGGCUGCUGACACAGCAUCCAUUCUGCAGCCCGUGGAUCAAGGAGGAAUUUCGGCUUUCAAGUCUUAUUAUUUAAGAAAUACACUUCAUAAGGCUGUAGCUGCCAGAGACAGUGAUUCCUCUGAUGGAUCUGGGCAAAGUCAAUUGAAAACCUUCUGGAAAGGACUCAUCAUUCCAGAUGCCAUUAAGAACAUUUGUGGGGCUUCCCUGGUGGCGCAGUGGUUGCGCGUCCGCCUGCCGAUGCAGGGGAACCGGGUUCGCGCCCCGGUCUGGGAGGAUCCCACAUGCCGCGGAGCGGCUGGGCCCGUGAGCCAUGGCCGCUGGGCCUGCGCGUCCGGAGCCUGUGCUCCGCAACGGGAGAGGCCGCAGCAGAGGGAGGCCCGCGUACCAAAAAAAAAAAAAAAAAAAAAAAAAAGAACAUUUGUGAUUCAUGGGAAGAGGUCAAAAUAUUAACAUUAACAGGAGUUUGGUAGAAUUUGAUUCCAGCCCUCAUGGACCACUUGGAGGGGUUCAAGACCUCAGUGAAGGAAGUAACUGCAGAUGUGGUGGAAACAGCAAGAGAACUAGAAUUAGAAGUGGAGCCUGCAGAUGGGACUGAAUUGCUGCCAUCUCAUGAGAAAACUAACGGAUGAGGGGUUGCCUCUUAUGGAUGAACAGAGAAAGUGGUUUCUUGAGAUGGAAGCUACCCCUGGUGAUGAUGCUGUGAAGACUGUUGAAAUGACAACCGAGGAUUUAGAAGAUUCCAUAAACUUAGCUGAUAAAAAAGUGGCAGGGUUUGAGAGGAUCUACUCCAACUUUGAAAGAAGUUCUCCUGUGGGAAAACCGCUAUCAAACAGCACUGCUGCUGCAGAGAAAUGGUUCAUGAAAGGAAGAGUCGAUAGAUGUGGCAAACUUCACUGCCGUCUUAUUU
Physeter macrocephalus (sperm whale) is the source of this 3034-nucleotide long non-coding RNA. RefSeq lists it as uncharacterized. The record is from RefSeq and is a predicted model, not a curated record. The transcript has 4 exons. NCBI's taxonomy places the organism in Eukaryota, Metazoa, Chordata, Mammalia, Artiodactyla, Physeteridae.